AAUCAACGCUGGCGGCGUGCCUCAGACAUGCAAGUCGAACGCGAAAGGCUCCUUCGGGAGCCCGGUAGAGUGGCGCACGGGUGAGUAACACGUAGGUAAUCUGCCUUUGGGUGGGGGAUAACAGCCGGAAACGGCUGCUAAUACCGCAUAAUGCAGCGGCAUCAAUGAUGACAGUUGUUAAAGUGGGGGAUCUCUUCGGAGACCUCAUGCCUGAAGAGGAGCCUGCGGCAGAUUAGCUAGUUGGUAAGGUAAUGGCUUACCAAGGCUGUGAUCUGUAGCCGGCCUGAGAGGGCGGUCGGCCACACUGACACUGACACACGGGUCAGACUCCUACGGGAGGCAGCAGUCGGGAAUUUUGGGCAAUGGGCGCAAGCCUGACCCAGCAACGCUGCGUGAAGGAUGAAAUCCCUUGGGAUGUAAACUUCACAAGAACAGGAAGAAUAAGGAAGGGUUAACACCUCUUUCGAUGACGGUACUGUUUGUAAGCUCCGGCUAACUCCGUGCCAGCAGCCGCGGUAAUACGGGGGGAGCAAGCGUUGUUCGGAUUUACUGGGCGUAAAGGGCGCGUAGGCGGUCGGCCAAUUCACUUGUGAAAUCUCUGAGCUUAACUCAGAGCGGUCAAGUGAUACUGGCUGACUAGAGUGCAGAAGGGGCGAUUGGAAUUCUCGGUGUAGCGGUGAAA
This 682-nucleotide ribosomal RNA is filed under the name uncultured Acidobacteriota bacterium. RNAcentral describes it as "bacterial SSU rRNA". It matches the Rfam family "Bacterial small subunit ribosomal RNA", at positions 28 to 686 of the family's 1533-position model. The record is from RNAcentral. Lineage: Bacteria; Pseudomonadati; Acidobacteriota.